RNAcentral lists this small RNA (28 nucleotides) under Salmonella enterica subsp. enterica serovar Typhi. Its description in RNAcentral is "StyR-306". The record is from RNAcentral. Lineage: Bacteria; Pseudomonadati; Pseudomonadota; Gammaproteobacteria; Enterobacterales; Enterobacteriaceae.
AUUGAACCUCGAGAACCGUUGUCUUAUA